GACAGAGGUGCCGAGCGUUAGGCGGAAUCACUGGGCUUAAAGCGUGUGUAGGCGGAUUCCUAAGUACCUUGUGAAAUCCCACGGCUUAACCGUGGAACUGCUUGGUAUACUGGGUGUCUUGAGCCAACUAGAGGCAGUCGGAACAAACGGUGGAGCGGUGAAAUGCGUAGAUAUCGUUUGGAACGCCAAUGGUGAAAACAGAACUGCUGGGGUUGUGCUGACGCUGAGACACGAAAGCCAGGGAGCGGAACGG
Molecule: ribosomal RNA, 253 nt
Filed under: uncultured bacterium
Lineage: Bacteria
Description: partial 16S ribosomal RNA
Rfam family: Bacterial small subunit ribosomal RNA
Source: RNAcentral